GGAUCUUUCCUAAAUUGCCUUCCUUGUUAUUUUGAAUUUUCUCCCUGACCUUCCUCCAGUUCCCUGAAAUGGCUUCACCUCUGUCAGCUUCUCCCUCACUCUGUGGCUUCAGUAUCAACCAUCAAGUCCUGGAGAGGACUGGCUUCCUGUUCCACCAAUAAAUCCCUGUCAGCUGAGGCGGGUGCAUAGCGAGAACUCUCCUUGCUGCCUUUUUUCCCAGCCCAAUUCUUCCUGCUCAUCCCUACCAAAUUCUUUUUCUCCCAGAGAGGUUUUUAUGACAUCCUUGCUCCAAAUCCAUUUACAAGAUUCAGUCCAAAAUCAUCAGCUGGAUAUAAUGGACCCCCCACAAUCUGGCAUCUUAAACCUUAUCUACUGCAAUUGCUCUUGCACCUUGAUUCCAGUUAGCAAUGCCUGUUCUCUAUUUUAAACAAUGACUAAUUUAUCCAACUCUAUUCAUUUGCUCAAACUAUUUUCUUGCCUACAAUAGCCUCCCAACAUUUUUCCACUCAAUCUGAGAACUCCCAAGAUUCCUUCAGCUGUUUCUACUACCUUUGGACAUGGAAUUUCAACAUAAAAAAGCAUUUUUCAGAGUUUCACUCUUGUCGCCCAGGCUGGAGUGCAAUGGUGCGAUCUUGGCUCACUGCAACCUCCGCCUCCCAGGUUCAAGCAACUCUCCUGCCUCAGUCUCCCGAGUAGCUGGGAUUACAGGUUAUCAUGAGAGUGAGCCAAGGAGGAACAACUAGAGGAUGGAGUGGAGGAUCAGACAAAGCUUACCCAAGAAGUAAGAUAAAGGCUGAGAAGCUGAGGCUUGAGAAGACUUUAGGCAGGGUAAUAGUAAAAGAAGGAUCAUUCCUGGGACAAAGAACAUAAUGGUGCAAAGGUCUUUACCUAAGAAGCAUCAGUACAAGUACUAGGGACAGAGGGGGUAGAAGUGAGACAGAGAGUGGCUGGACAAAACAGGGUUCCAUCAAGCCAGGCCUCACUGGGCCAUCUUAACCUAAAAAUGCAGCUGAGGCCUGGAAGAGCCAUGUAAGCUGGAACAUCUAAAAAAGCUUUUUCCCUCCAUUCAUUUAAGAGGCUUAAGUCAUUUGGAAAAAACAUGUAUCCUAAAAUAUCAAUAAAUUAUAUGCAACUUC
This is a long non-coding RNA of Homo sapiens (human), 1136 nucleotides long. RefSeq lists it as uncharacterized. NCBI's taxonomy places the organism in Eukaryota, Metazoa, Chordata, Mammalia, Primates, Hominidae. The transcript has 4 exons. The record is from RefSeq and is a predicted model, not a curated record.